Molecule: ribosomal RNA, 497 nt
Filed under: uncultured bacterium
Lineage: Bacteria
Description: partial 16S ribosomal RNA
Rfam family: Bacterial small subunit ribosomal RNA
Source: RNAcentral
GAUGAACGCUGGCGGCGUGCCUAAUACAUGCAAGUCGAGCGAACGGACGCGAAUCUUGCUUCUCUGAUGUUAGCGGCGGACGGGUGAGUAACACGUGGAUAACCUACCUAUAAGACUGGGAUCACUUCGGGAAACCGGAGCUAAUACCGGAUAAUAUUUUGCACCGCAUGAUUCAAAAGUGAAAGACGGUCUUGCUGUCACUUAUAGCUGGAUCCGCGCUUCAUUAGCUGGUUGGUAAGGUAACGGCUUACCACGGCAACGAUGCAUAGACGACCUGAGUGGGGGAUAGGCGACCUUGGAAGGGAACCAGGGUCAAGACGACUAAGGGAGGCAGCAGAAGGGAAUGGGACGCAAUGGGGGAAAGUAUGACGGAGCAACGCCGAGUGAGAGAUGAAGGUCUUCGGAUCGUAAAAAUCUGUUAUGAGGGAAGAACAGAUGUGGAAGGAAAUGUGCACAGAGUGACGGUACCUAAUAAGAAAGCCACGGCUAACUACGUG